Molecule: long non-coding RNA, 7223 nt
Organism: Symphalangus syndactylus (siamang)
Lineage: Eukaryota; Metazoa; Chordata; Mammalia; Primates; Hylobatidae
Source: RefSeq, a predicted model, not a curated record
UCAAUGUUAACUUUCUAUUUACAGUUUUCAGAUUUUAUUUUUCAAAAUAUAUAUGUGAAUAUGAACACAUUUGUAGGAAUUUCUGUUGGUGCUGCACAAAUAUCCCCUAGACCGUCACUGGCGCAUGCCUAUGAUACCUUCUUGAAAGCAUCAAUGAUGCUGUUCUUGAGAACAUUCUUCCAGUUGAAGUGUUGCCGAGUCAAUGCCCCAGGAAACAGUUUUUGGCCCAAUGAUGAGAAUUAAAAGAUAAAAAUCUUAGCUUCCUUGAAACUCAGAUGGAAUGACUUUAAGACAUUGUGGUGGUUUAUUCCUAUUCAAUGUGGGACACUUCUAAAGAGAAACUAAGGCUGCAGCAUUCUCCAUUAGCCUGACAAAGCUUAUGGAGUUUCUUCUUAACCAAUUAUCUUUUCUUCCCCUCUUUUCACAGAGGUCAGACCUGUACCAUGAUCUGAAGAGUCUUCCUUCUAACCUCUUUCUCCUCUUUACUCUUCACAUGUGUUUCCCAAAUAAAUCUCUUGUAUAUCUAAUCCUAUUUUGCCUGCUUUUCAAAAAAUCCAAACUAACACAAGUAGUGCCAAGAGUAGCAGGAGAAAACAAAGGUAAAAUGAAAUUUGGGGACUGGUCAACAAAUGACCUAAUGGUCAAAAUGGUUGCAAUUGGCAUAGCAAGGUUAACAUUAAAAUAAAAGCUAUAGCUGCUACCAGGAUACUUUGGACUCCAGGUGAAGAAAGGAGUCACCAUCUUGGCUAGAGUAAUUGAUGGUUAUAAGCAGGAGGUGGAAGGACUGCACCUGCAUCGAUGGUAAAGGUAGACAAAUGGACAUUUACAACAAUUAUAGCCUGAGAAGCCCAUGAUUUCCAAGGGCUUAGGCCCUCAGGAAUGAAGGUUUGGAUCACAACACAUGAUUAGGCACCAAGAUCUGUCAAAGUAAUAGCUGAAGGUUGGGGGAUUUUUUAGAAAGGAUAGAGGAGAAGAGAAAUGAUGAGUAUAAUUUAUGACCCCAAAACCAACUACAGCGGUGGAUCGUGUAGCUGGUGUUACCAGUCUCUCUAAGUUUCCCUUAAAUAAGGGAGGGUCAUAGGAAACAUGGUGAUGCCACUCCUUAAACUUGCAUUGAGAAUCAGAGUUGUGCAAUGCAGUGGGUGAAAUGUACAGUCUGUGAAACUAUGACCAGAUCUUGCUCUGCAAGGAGCAUAGUUGACAGACAGUACUAGCUGCCAGCUUUCUGGAUCCCCACUACAUUUGCGCAGCAAGCAUACUUCCUCAGAGCUACUCUAAGUGGAAAACUGAGCAGGGUGAAUUACUAAUGCCAGCACAUUCUUGCUAGGUCUGGGAUUCCUCUAAUGUGUAUCGGCCUAAAACUCGUAGAACUGUACUGAUGUUUGAGACUCUCCCUGUCAAAUCCUCCUUCCGCAGGUGGUAGACCUGGACUGCAUUCUAAAUGAUCUCUCUGAUCACUCUUUCUUUCUUCCAUUUAUCCUUAAUAGACAUUUCCUUUAAUAAAUGUAUUGCAUGUUUAUUCUGCUUCACAGAGUACUCAAACUAACAAAAGCAUAUUCCAAACCUUCUCCCAGAGGAUUCCAUGGGAAACUAAGUCCAGUUGCCCACAACAAUUAUUAGCCUGCACACUAGUAUACCCUGUUUUGAACUCUUUGCAUUCCGUCUUAUAUCCCUAUUCCUCUACUAGUCCCUCCUGAGAUUAAAUUAAUGUGGUGGUUUUAAAAUAAAUCUACAAAGUUUUUAAUACUCCUUUUGAGAGGUGGAGCCUAAUUUCCCUCCUCUUGAGUAUGAACUGGAAUUACUCACAGAGCUCUAAUAAAGAGAGUGUGGCAGAAAUUAUGUAUGUGCUGCUAAUAGCCAGCAACAAACUAAGACCUCCAGCCAACAGCCAUGUAAGUGAGCCCUUUCAGAAUCAGAACAUCUGUCCCAGUUAAACCUUCAGAUGAGGUAGCUGACAACUUGAAUAGAGCUUUAGAAGAGACUUUGAAGAACUAUCAAGCCAUUCCCAUACUCCCCACCCUCAGAAACUAUGUGAGAUAAAUAUUUGUUGUUUUAAGCUAUAAGCUAUCAGGAAACUUGUUAUGCAAAAAUAGACAAGUAAUACACUAUUAAAUCCAUCACACAUACUCAAAUCCUUCUCUCAGGAUCAACUGUGGAGAAAUGUUUUUUUUGUUUUCUUGUGCUUCAUUUUAUUGUGUUUUGAAGAUAUUGUGGUUUGUACAAAUUGAAGAUUUGUGGUGAACCUGUGUCGAAUAAGUCCGUUGGUGCCAUUUCUUCCAAGAGUAUGUGCUCAGUUUGUGUUUCUGAUCAUUAGUAAUUUUUAGCAAUAAAGCAUUUUAUAAUUAAACUAUUAACAUUCCUUUUUAAGACAUAAUGCUAUUGCACACUUAACAGUUUAUAAUAUAGCAUAAAUAUAGCUUUUAUAGGCACUGGAAAACCAAAAUAUUCAUGUGACUCUUUAUUGUCAUUUUCACUUUAUUGCAGUGGUCCUGAACUGUACCUGAGACAUCUCUGAGUAUUGCCAAGUCCUGGGCCAAUUUGUGUACAGGCCUCUGGCCAAUUGUGUCACCUCUUCUGCAUUUCACCUGCAUCGUCAAAUGUGGAGGACUGGAGGCAGUGAGAGACUGAUGCAAACUCCGGAGAGAAACUGAGACUCCUAAAAGUACUGUUUACCACAAUGAACACACUUUUAUCAUGUCAGCAACUUCCAUCUCUACAUUGCCCUGCGUUAAGAAUAUACUGGGAGCUGAUAUAACCUCAGUGAUGGUAAAACAGGAUAUAGAAUCCAGAAAACAUUCCUGAAAUGGACCAAACAUCAAUACUCUGAAACAGAAGUGGAAAUGAAACUGAAACAGAAAAAGUGAAAGGUGAAGACAGACAAUGGUACCACUGAAAUAAGCACUUUUAUUUCAAUGGGCAUGAUAGAUUCUAGAGUGUUAGAAGACACUCAGCUGCUUAACCACCAGGAGCAAUGUGCAUGUGACUUCUGCUAUAGGUAGUUUUGCAAAGCAGAAUUUCAGAAUUUAGAAGAUUAUUACUCUGAUGUGAGAGUCUGGCUGUGCCUGUGACUUAAUCUACUGUAAGUAAAUAAAGUGAGAUGUGAAUUCAUGUCCUUAAAAAAUAUUUCUUCUUCUUCACCUUGUUCUUAAUAUAAUUCUUCAGUGAACAUAAUUCUUGAUGUAAGCUUUAUUUUACUAAAUAACGCACCUACUCAGUAUAGGUCUUCUUAUUUUCAAAGCGAACUCGUGAGAAGUUCAGACUCUCUGGAAAAAAAUAAAUCUAUGAUUUUUCUUUUGCAUGUGAAUUCCACCAGCAACAGUAGGGCCUGUUUCGUGAUUUGUUAUGUAUGAGGCCAUUUUGUUCUUGUAAUACACAUGAAGGAGCAUUUUCUGUGCUUCAUAAUUGAGCAAUAAGACAUCAACAGCAAGCGCCUUCCUCUGACUCCAUGGAAUAUUUACAAGAAUGAAGGCUGAAGUGCAAGUGAUUUCAAUCAUCAAAACAGUGCAAUAAUCUCAAAGAAAAAAAUACUUGAAACUCCUAAUGCUAUUCAAAAUUGAAAUUAUAAAAAUGGAAACAUCUGCAACUACUGGAUCUAUUCACUGUGUAUUAUUAAUUUGGGGAUGCCGUUGUUAGCAAAUCAGAAAAUUCCAUUUGUGCUAAGAGUUCUGAAACUAUUCCACAAUGAGAAGUUACUUAUUUUUCUAUUGACAUUUUCUAAGCAAAUGGCUUAUUCUUGCAAUUCAUUUGAUAGUAAAACUGUACAAAUAUUUCUCAGGGGAGUCCAGUUACUUUGAAAAAAGAAGAAAGUCUCAUUGAUUGUUUCCAGAUUCGGAAGCUGGAAAAUGAGACUCUGUCUCUGAUAGAAAACAUGCAUUUUAGGAGCUGAACACAUGGAGAUUCCUGGAGGAUGGUUAGCCUAGGGAGGGUAUGGAAACUCCACGCCUCCUUUCUUAUACCUUGCCCUAUGCACCUUUUCAUCUGUAUCCUUUGUAAUACCCUUUAUAAUAAACUGGUAAAUGUAAGUAAGUAGUUUCCUGAGUUCUGUCAGCAGCUCCAGCAAAUUAAUGGAAACCAAAAUGGGGCUGUGGGAACUCCAACCUGAAGCCAGUCCAUUGGCCAUUCAGGAGGCCUGGACUUGUGACUGGUGUGUGUGGGGGAUUUGGGGGCCAUUUGUGGGGAUUGGGCCCUCAAGCCGUGGGAUCUGACACUAUCUCCAGGUAGACAGUGUUGGAAUUGAAUUGGAGGACAUGGAGCUGGUGUCUGCUGCUCGGUGUGUGGGGCCAAACCCCUGCAAAUUGGUCAUAGAAGUUUUCUGUGUUGAUGAUUAUUGUGGUGGUGUGACAGCAGAGGAAAAACAUCUUGAGAGAGUUUUUUUUCUGACAUACUGGGUGGUAGUGGUAGGAUAUUCUGGACUGGCACAGGCUCAGAGAAACAUCUGGUUUGGAAAGAGAAAGGAUAAAAAGGUGAAGGGAUGAAGAACCUUUGAUUCCUAUGUGGCCACGUGGCCACCCACUGUAUAAAGCUACAGCUGAGUUGAGAUCAGCUACUAAAGGUAAAGGUUACCAGUGGACUUUAGAGAUGAACCUAACUUCCAGUGAAUUGGUUCACUGGAUAUAUAAGGAAAUGCAAACUAUGAAAAAAAGCAAAAUAUUCAAUCCCUUGGCUAUUGCUAUGUAUAAUAGCUAAAAUGAAACUAAGAGAGCGUUGGGUUGGGCUUUGAGGCUGGAUCAAGCUCAGAUGUGAGUUUGUCUGAGCUCAGGCCACUAGCCUCAGUGACACCCACAAUGGAGAAAAUUAUACCAGAACAACAGAAACUACCUCUGAGACCUGUGGUUACCAAGAAUGUAGUUAAUGUGGGGGAAGAGCAAAAUCAAGCACUAUGGUUUGGAUUUGUGUCCCAGGCCAAAUCUCAUGUCCCCAGUUGUAAUCCCCAAUGUUGGAGGAGGGGCUUAGUGUGAGGUGAUCGGAUCAUGGGGGUAGAUUUCUCCCUUGCUGUUCUCUUGAUAGUGAGUUUUCAUGAAAUCUGGUUGUUUAAAAGUGUGUAGCACCUCCUCCUUCACUCUCUUCCUCCUGUUCUGGCUGUAAGACAUGCCUGCUUCCCCUUCGUGUUCCUCCGUGAUUGAAGGUUUUUGAGGCCUCCCAGCCAUGCUUCCGGUAUAGCCUGUGGAACCAUGAGCCAAUUAAACCUUUUUUCUUUAUUAAUUACCUGGUCUCAGGUAUUUCUUCAUAGCAAUGAAAGAACAGACUAAUACAGAAGAUUGAUACCAAGGAAUGGGGCACUACUGUAAAGACACCUGAAAAUGUUGAAGUGACUUUAGAACUGGCUAACACCCAGAGGUUGGAAGAGUUUGGCUUCCAUGUGAUGCUAAGCCUGUGGAUGUAAAUGAGGGAAACACAAGGGAAAGUUUGGGACUUCCUACAGGCUUGUUAAAUUGUUGUGACCAAAAUGUUAAUAGUGAUAUGGACAAUGAAGUCCAGGCUGAGGUGGUCCCAGAUAGAGAUGAGGAACUUACUGGGAACUGGAAUAAUGUUUACUCUUGCUAUGCUUUAGCAAAAAGACUGGUGGCAUUGUGCCCCUGCUCUAGGGAUCUAUAAAACUUUGAACUUGAGAGAGAUGUUUUAGGGUGUGUGGUGGAAGAAAUUUCUAAGCAAUAAAAUGUUCAAAAUGUAGCCUGGAUGCUUUUAGCAGCCUAAACUUCUAUUUCUGAACAAUGAAAUGAUGUAAAACUGGAACUUAUGUUUAAAAGGGAAGAAGAGUUUAAAAGUUUGGAAAAUUUGCAGCUCAGCCAUGUGGUAGAAAAGAAAAAUCCAUUUUCUUGGGAGGAAUUCAGGCCUGCUGCAUAAAUUUGCAUAAGUAAGGAGUAUCCCCAAGAUAAUGGGGAAAAUGCUUCAAAGGCAUUUCAGAAACCUUUAUGGAGGCCCCUGCCAUUGGAAGCCCAGAGGCAUAGGAGGGGAAAAUGGUUUCCUGGGCCAGGCCCAGGGCCCUGAUGCUCUGUGUAGCCUUGGGACAUGGUGCCCUUUAUUGUGUCCAUUCCAACUCCAGCCAUGGCUAAAAUGGGUCAAGGUACACCUCAGGCCAUUGUUCCAGAUGGUAGAAGCCAAUAGCCUUGGUGGCUUCCAUGUAAUGCUAAGCCUGUGGGUUUAAAGAAGGCAAGAGUUGAGGCUUGGGAGCCUCUGCCUAGAUUUCAGAGGAUGUAUGAAAAUUUUUAAAUGUCCAGACAGAAGUCUGCUGCAGGCUUGGAGUGCUCAUGGAGAACCUAUACCAGGGCAGUGUGAAGGAAAAAUGUGGUGUUGGAGUCCCCAAAAAGAGUCCCCACUGGGGCGCUGUCUAUUGAAGCUAUGAGAAGAGGGCCACCAUCCUCCAGAACCCAGAAUGUUAGAUCCACCAACAGCUUGCACCAUGCACCUGGAAAAGUUGCAGGCACUAAACGUCAGCCCUUGAGAGUAGCCAUGGGAGCUGAGCCCUGCAAAGGCACAGGGGCAGAGCUGUCCAAGGCCUUGGGAGCUUACUUCUUGAAUCACCGUGGUCUGGAGGUGAGACCUGGAAUCAAAGGAGAUUAUUUUGGAGCUUUAAGAUGUAAUGACUGACCUGCUGGGUUUUGGACGUGCACAGGUCUGUAGCUUCUCUUAUUUGUCUGAUUUCUCCCUUUUGGAAUAUGUGUAUUUAUCCAAUGCCUGUACCCCAAUGGUAUCUUGGAAGUAACUAACUUGUUUUUUUUUUUUUUAUUUUACAGGUUCAUAGGCAGAAGGGACUUGCUUGUCUCAGAUAAGAGUUUGAACUGUGGACUUUAGAGUUAAUGCUGAAAUAAGUUAAGACUUGAGAUACCGUUAAAAAGGGGUGAUUGUAUUUUACAAGAUGAGAAGAACAUGAUAUUUGAGAAGGGCCAGAAUAAUAUGGCUUACAUUUGUGUUCCCACCCAAAUCUCAUGCCCUCAGUUAUAAUCUCCAGUUUUUAAGGAGGGGCCAGGUGGGAUGUGAUUGGAUCGUGGAGGUAUAUUUCCCCCUUGUUGUUCUCAUGAUAGAAAGUUCUCAUGAGAUCUGGUUGUUUAAAAGUGUGUAGCAACUCCUCUUUCAUUCUCUUCCUCCUGCUCCAGCCAUGUAAGAUGUACCAGCUUCCCCUUCACCUUCUGCCAUGACUGAAGGUUUCCUGAGGCCUCCCCACCCAUGCCUCCUGUACAGCCUAUAGAACCAUGUGCAAAUUAAACCUUUUUCUUUAUAAGUUA